Non-coding RNA from Coturnix japonica (Japanese quail), 2518 nucleotides. The record is from RefSeq and is a predicted model, not a curated record. NCBI's taxonomy places the organism in Eukaryota, Metazoa, Chordata, Aves, Galliformes, Phasianidae.
CCUGAAAUGAACAAGAAAAUUAUUUAUUAUAAUGAGAGUCCACCCUAAAAGGAAUAACAGUGUAAACUGAGAGUGUCACAUUAUGUCUCUGGAUAAACUCCAAAUACUGCCAUCUCUGAGAGAAAAUCCAUUUGCACCUUUACCUAACAUAGAUGAUCUCAAGGAAAAGGGAUUUGCAAGAUCACAAAGUACACCCUCAAAGUCCUUUAGACAAAUAGCAAUUGGUGAUGCUAAGAGACAGAUCUGGUUCUUUGUUCUUCAAUAUGUGGAAACAACUCUCCCUGACAGUGAAACGUGCAUCUCAAUGCCCAUACAGAAUUAAAGAGAAGGAACCUGUUCACAGUUCUCAGGUGAGGUAUGGCAUAGUCGCAAUGUUAUCAGAUCCUGAAAACAUAAAGAAGGGACAGAUUUUAGGCAGAUGUUAGACGGACUUCAAGUUGUCAUCAUGUUACAAGACAUUUAUAGCAUGCUCUGUUAUGAUCAAAUUUGAAAUGUCCUUCAUAUACAAGGUAUAAUUUCACCUACCAUUUUUACAGUGAUCUGUUCCAUCUCUUCCUCUGUUUUUUCUCUUAAGCACUCAACCAGAGCAGCAGAACUGGAUUUUUCACAGCCAGAUGCAGCAGCAAUUCUCUGCAAUCAAUAAAAACAAGUCACAUCCUCAUUUACUAAUUAUCCAUGUACUUCCCAUUGAAGGGCUCUAUCUGCCACUUAGUCUGGAGUGCAUCUCAGUUUCUCAGAAAGGACUGUGAAAGCCAGAAGUGUUUCAGUUGUAGAUGCUGAGAUAGGAAGCUUUCAUAAUCUUUCAUGUUGCGGACUGAACAGAAAGACAAAACCUACUCCUCCAAAAUAUCUCCUCCCUUCACUAACAGACCAAGGUAGUUGUGCUGGUAUGUAACAAACGGGGCUGAAAAGUCUGGAUGGCAUAAGGUAGUUUAGAGUAAUGCAUAGAAUAUAACUAUGUAGAUGAUGAAAAAAAUAGAGCGCAUUACACCCUUCUCAAUGAUGCAUAGUCUUUUUAAAUGAGGGAAUGCUAUUUCUCAGCUGUCGUUAGACAGAUAGACCUCAGUGCAAUGCUGCCUCUUCUACAAAACAAAGCUCUUGGAGGUUGUUUCUUACAGAUGGGUAAGACUGAUUGGAACUGGGCUCUUCUUUCUCAUUAUAACUAAGCUGAGUACGGUUCCGUUCCUUGGAGCACAUCAGGCUCCAUCAGGAAGGAAAGAGAACAGUAUUGAGUAUCUGGUGCCAUUUCCCAGUUAAAAAUAACAGCUUAAUUUUUAAUGAAGGCAGUAUACUCUACUCCUUUACAUUUCAAACUCAUUCACUGCCUUCUCUCUCCGCUUCCUCAGUCUUCUGCUUUCAUUCAGACAUCUGUGGAUAAUUGGGUAUUUGAAAAGCAAUGUUACACUGAACGUGUAUUACUGCAAACAGGAAUGCUGAAUCUAAUGAAUGUGGUUGAAAUUCCACAAGAAAAACAAUCAAGUUCCACAUUUUGGAUUAAACCAUUUAAGGUGCUCAACACUAUCUGAGAAAUAAAUAUGAUACAAAACACCCACCUGUGCUUCUUCCUCAGGCCUUUCAGUGAAUAAAAGCCUGAUUGCAACACCACUCUCUGAAAUGGCCCUAUGGAACAAGCCCUUUGCCAGUGGAGAUAAGACCUGGAAAUAAAAAGCACCAUCCAUAAAGAAGAACAAGCGUUACUGGGGAUGCAUUCUGAUCACUGACACAGAAUUUCAAUAUCAGAAACUGCCUUUUUUGAAAACAUGUCAUCCAACUGUUACUCUAUAGCCUCUUAUCAUAGCUCCCUGGUGCAAAGUUCUCUGCCAGCAUUAACAGGGAUAGGUUCAUGCCUGCCCUUUCCCCUCCAGUAGCACUUUGCCUUCAAGACUUCACAGAACAACAGUGCAGGCCAGAUAUGCAUCAGGUAUAGCUCUGUCCAACAGAGCAGCUGUGCUGCUGAAGGGGAAAAACAACUACAAUGGAGGAGUAAGGAGCAAACUGACAUUCAAAUUUGAAGAUGACAUAUAACAUUUAGGGUUCUAAACAACAUCAUUUGGUACAAAUAGACUUUCAACACUCAGAAACUGCGCUGUUAUCACAUAGUGUAUCAGAACAAGGACAUGUGUGGUUUAUCCUAAAGCCACCCACUUUUUCUCACUGAUUUUUCAUUUAUGUACUAAGAAUGACCAUGGACAGUGUUUUUUUUUCUCAAAUGAUUAACAUUCAUGCUUGUGAUGAACUCACCAGAGCAGAUACACUGAUUCCCCCUGCAGAUUCUCCAAAGAUGGUGACGGAUCCCGGGUCUCCUCCAAAGUGUAUGAUAUUUUCCUGAAUCCACUGAAGAGCUGCCACUUGGUCCAAAUACCCCCAGUUACCACGAGCAUGCUUAUCACCAGUGCUGGGAAGAAAUAACAGAUUUCUUUAAGUGCUUGAUAUGAAAGAAAACAACGCAGAGAUAAAGACAAUGUGCAGGAUAAGGAAAGAGCUGUUAAAGAGCAUAUCUAUAAUUAAAAAAAAAAAA